CCUCCUUAAACGAAAUUCCUGUACUUUUGGUAAGUGCUCACACGCAUUGUUUGAUUAUUUUUGGUUAGCAGUGAAACACGGUAUGCCGACCGGGCUGCUACGACCCGUCGGAGAUAAUUGGGUCUGUGGCUCAGUUGGUUAGAGCGCACCCCUGAUAAGGGUGAGGUCGGUGGUUCAAAUCCACCCAGACCCACCAAUUGCCCGCAUACGGGGCUAUAGCUCAGCUGGGAGAGCGCCUGCCUUGCACGCAGGAGGUCAGCGGUUCGAUCCCGCUUAGCUCCACCAAUUUCACUGUUAAUGAGAAGCUAGCGAUAAGCAUUACUGUUUAUCACUGGUUUUUUGUGCCAGAGCUCUUUAAAAAGGUAAUUGUUGAAUACUGAAAUAUUUUUUCAAGGCCGAUGUGUAUUCUUACAUAUCUGUCCGGCGAAAAUUGUUACUAAUUACUAUGAAAAUAGUAAGUCGCAACAAAUCUUGCACGCUUGUGCUAUAUGGUCAAGCGAGUAAGCGCAUACGGUGGAUGCCUAA
Molecule: transfer RNA, 525 nt
Filed under: uncultured Gammaproteobacteria bacterium
Lineage: Bacteria; Pseudomonadati; Pseudomonadota; Gammaproteobacteria
Description: partial 16S-23S ribosomal RNA intergenic spacer
Rfam family: tRNA (bases 120-193)
Source: RNAcentral